RNAcentral lists this ribosomal RNA (253 nucleotides) under uncultured bacterium. RNAcentral describes it as "partial 16S ribosomal RNA". It matches the Rfam family "Bacterial small subunit ribosomal RNA", at positions 524 to 776 of the family's 1533-position model. The record is from RNAcentral.
UACGUAGGGGGCAAGCGUUGUCCGGAGUUACUGGGCGUAAAGCGCACGCAGGCGGUCUGUUAAGUUUGGAGUGACAGUUGGUGGCUUAACUGCCAAAGUGCUUUGAAAACUGACAGACUUGAGGGCUUCAGAGGGACACGGAAUUCCGGGUGGAGUGGUGAAAUGCGUAGAUAUUGGGAAGAACACCGGUGGCGAAGGCGGCUAUCUGGACCGGAACUGACGCUGAGGCGCGAAAGCCAGGGGAGCGAAUGGG